UGCGUAAUGGAGCAGUUGGUAGCUCACAUGGUUCAUACCCAUGAGGUCACAAGUUCGAGUCUUGUUUACGCCA
Molecule: transfer RNA, 73 nt
Filed under: Escherichia coli
Lineage: Bacteria; Pseudomonadati; Pseudomonadota; Gammaproteobacteria; Enterobacterales; Enterobacteriaceae
Also listed under: 3 other names
Description: tRNA-Met
Rfam family: tRNA
About the family: Transfer RNA (tRNA) molecules are approximately 80 nucleotides in length. Their secondary structure includes four short double-helical elements and three loops (D, anti-codon, and T loops).
Source: RNAcentral